Molecule: long non-coding RNA, 266 nt
Filed under: Capsicum annuum
Lineage: Eukaryota; Viridiplantae; Streptophyta; Magnoliopsida; Solanales; Solanaceae
Description: long non-coding RNA (CANN_LNC009242)
Source: RNAcentral
GACCUAAAUGCACUAAAAUCAGCCAACAUAUUACACUUGAUGGGCACCUAAGUCUUUAAGGGGCCUUUUGGUCUUUUUUAUCUUUUAUUUGUAAUAGGAUAUAAAUAGAACCAUGUAGGGUUUCUUUGAUUAGUUUUUAAUGAUAUUUGUGAGUCUUGAAAGACCAAAGAACACAAGUCCUCUCUCCUUGAGGCACCAAAAAAGAAACUAGGAUACAACAAUAGGGUGGAUUUUCUUUUGUUGUUGCUUGCUUGGAAACGUUGAUG